Oncorhynchus keta (chum salmon) is the source of this 3649-nucleotide long non-coding RNA. RefSeq lists it as uncharacterized. The transcript has 2 exons. The record is from RefSeq and is a predicted model, not a curated record. Lineage: Eukaryota; Metazoa; Chordata; Actinopteri; Salmoniformes; Salmonidae.
CACAGGGACAAAGGGAUUGGUUGGGCUUUAAUGCUUAAGGAGAUGAGAAAUGUCUCAAUGAUAUUUGACAAUUUAGAGAACUACUGACGUUUUAUUUUAUUUGAGACAUCUAAUACAUAAGAGGGGGCCUACAAACCCCUACAGGGAACACUUCCACCACUCGGCCGCCUUUACCGAAGAGCGGGAGCUCCACCAUGUAUCUGUUGUCAUGGCAACGCUGCAAUCCCCUCAGAUUACAAGCACAUACGGUAUUAAAUAUUUCAAACGCUGAUGAUUAUAGUGACUCAACCCAACACAGAUGGAUCUCUUAAUAAAGCCUCGCUUUUCUCUUUCAUGGAGGACAUUUUUCUUUUGUCACACACAAAGAAAAUGAAAGUAGAUAGAAGAUUGCUCUGAUAAGCCUUUUGUUCAGGGUUUGUCAGACCAUUUUCCUCUGUAUCUAGUCCAAUACUCCCUAUUUUGAACAGGUGUGUGUAGCAAGGACAAAUUCACAAUUUCCUCACUAAAUGCAUGUUUAGACACCUUUUGGUGCUACAUAAUGUCUACGUGUUAAUGAAAAUGUCAUAACACACACACAAAGACGCACAGGAAUACAAAUAGCCUUAUACACCAAAAGUGAAUAAGAGCUUUGUAACAUGGCCAUGAGAAUCCACUACACACUAAAACACCUACUCAAGGCAUGGCAACUAUUUGUUUUCUGUGCAAGCUCUGAAUACAGGAACUAAAUACAGGAGCAAGAAUGUGGAAUUCUGGGGUAAUGCAUCAAUUAUCAAUGGGAAAAGAAGCAGACCAUGGAACGCCUAUCUCAGACCAUGAGUUUUGAGGCGAAGUGAUAAUUGAGUAACUCCACAAAUUGGUUCAUAUGGAGUUUUUAAAAACAUAAACCAUAUCAUUCAUACUGAGGUGAUUAAACUAGGCAUACAAAAAUGGGUUUCUGUCAAGGGGCAUUUUUCAAAACAGGUCUUUUACUCUGUGCUAAACAAACUUCUAUAACCGCUAGGAUAUCUGCAAACACUGAACACUGGUUUGAGAAAAUUAAGUGUUGGCCAACAGCAAAGCACAGAGUAAAACCCAACCAGAUUUUGGAUGGCUGUUUAGCACCCAUCCCACACAGCCCAAGCCACUGUGCCAGAAUGCUGAUUUAGCUAUUCAGCUGUUUACACUAAUCCCACCUCAUUAACCUGCAAAUAGGCAUACUAGAGGAAUUACACUGACACUGGCAUGGUACUACGACUGUGAUAACGGUUGUCUCCCAUAGCUAUCUUAAAAUGAAUGCACUAACUGUAAGUCACUCUGAAUAAGGGUGUCUGCUAAAUGACAAAAAUGUCAAAUGUAAGCCUGGCUAAUGCUGUCAAUGUUUGCCCACAUAACAGCAUUACAAACUGCUUUCGUUAGCCUAUGGCGAUCUAAUCACACAGAAUUAGGUCUAGGCCUACUAUGACUAAACUGUGAUAAUGCUGUGCUAAAUUACUCAAAAGGUGUGGCAAAUUAUGUCCAACUAAAGGGACACACACAGCUCUGUAAAAUAUUAUACCUUUGUUUCUAAAGAAGCUGAUACCAGUAGGUAGGUACUUGCUGAGCAAUAUUGAAUGAUUGUACAUUUACUAAACUAAAUGGGUACCAACUAGUCAACCAGUGAAUUACGUAGGCUAUAUCCUCCUGACAAAUAGGCCUAAAUGCAUGAUCCUUUUGAUGUGAUCCAUCUUCACAGUCUGUGGAGGUUCUUUACUUUGUCUGGCCCUCUCCCCUGAGAAAGAGGGAUAAAUGGAAGCAGGAGGAGAGGGUCAGGUGAUGAUGAGAUUAAAGACCUCCUCAUUGCACAGAGAAGGUCUAACAGACAGACCGUGUUUGACGCAGCAGCUCCUUCUGCCUUCCUCUCCAAAAAGCCCUCCUGUGGGGCUGCAGUCUGCUCAGUCCUGGACCUAGAUUCACCACACCAAAGCUACUGGGGCAGUAUGUAUUUCCUGUCGCCUCCUCAUGCCACUGGCCACCAGUCACACUACUUGGCGCUGUUGGAUACCCAAGACCCUGCCUCCCUGCUGCUGUGGGUCAUCAGCCUCCUGAAGAGAGAGGAUAAAUCAUGGUGAGAGCACAUCUGUCAAAUAAUACACAACAGUAAUUUCUAAUUUCCUGUCUUUUCCUGUUGCUUAGUAUCGGAAUUUUUCUACAUUUCAGGUUUGAUUGAAAAAGUGAAAAACAGCAACAUCCAUCCAUAGAAUGAAGGUGGAGCAACAGUGGUGGGUAGUGCUCUAAUGGCAGAAAGGGAGAUACCUAGUCAGUUGUACAACUGAAAUGUGUCUUCCGCAUUUAACCCAACAGAAUCAGAGAGGAAGAGAGCGGCAGGUGCAACCAUCCCUUGGUUCUGCUGAUCCCACCAAGUUCCACUACUGUGAAGAACUGUGUUCACUAUUCAUCUGAAAAGGUUUGCUCAAUUAUGUUUGAAUUGAUGUUUAUAUAUAAAAAAAUAAGUGAAUAAAUAUUUCUAAAUCCCAAAACAUAACUAUUAUACGGUGUGGUUAUACAGUGGGGAGAACAAGUAUUUGAUUACGCUGCCGAUUUUCCUACUUACAAAGCAUGUAGGUCUGUAAUUAUCAUAGGUACACUUCAACUGUGAGAGACAGAAUCUAAAACAAAAAUCCUGAAAAAUCACAUUGUAUGAUUUUUAAGUAAUUCAUUUGCAUUUUAUUGCAUGACAUAAGUAUUUGAUACAUCAGAAAAGCAGAACUUAAUAUUUGGUACAGAAACCGUUGUUUUCAAUUAGAGAUCAUACGUUUCCUGUAGUUCUUGACCAGGUUUGCACACACUGCAGCAGGGAUUUUGGCCCACUCCUCCAUACAGACCUUCUCCAGAUCCUUCAGGUUUCAGGCUGUCGCUGGGCAAUACAGACUUUCAGCUCCCUCUAAAGAUGUUCUAUUGGGUUCAGGUCUGGAGACUGGCUAGGCCACUCCAGGACCUUGAGAUGCUUCUUACGGAGCCACUCCUUACUUGCCCUGGCUGGAUCAUCCUCUGGAUCAUCCAGAUGGUCAUUGGCAAACUUCAGACGGGCCUGGACAUGUGCUGGCUUGAGCAGGGGGACCUUGUGUGCACUGAAGGAUUUGAAUCCAUGAAGGCGUAGUGUGUUACUAAUGGUUUUCUUUGAGACUGUGGUCCCAGCUCUCUUCAGGUCAUUAAUCAGGUCCUGUCGUUUAGUUCUGGGCUGAUCCCUCACCUUCCUCAUGAUCAUUGAUGCACCAUGAGGUAAGAUCAUGCAUGGAGCCCCAGACCGAGGGUGAUUGACCGUCAUCUUGAACUUCUUCCAUUUUCUAAUAAUUGCACCAACAGUUGUUGCUUUCUCACCAAGCUGCUUGCCUAAUGGCCUGUAGCCCAGCCUUGUGCAGGUCUACAACUUUAUCCCUGAUGUCCUUACACAGCUGUCUGGUCUUAGCCAUUGUGUAGAGGAUGGAGUCUGUUUGAUUGAGUGUGUGGACAGGUGUCUUUUAUACAGGUAACGAGUUCAAACAGGCGCAGUUACUACAGGUAAUGAGUGGAGAACAUGAGGUCUUCUUAAAGAAAAAUUAACAGGUCUGUGAGAGCCAGAAUUCUUACUGGUUGGUAGGUGAUCAAAUACUUAUGUCAUGCAAUAAAAUGCAAAUUAAUUACUUCAAAAUCA